CCUACGGGCGGCAGCAGUGAGGAAUAUUGGUCAAUGGGCGAGAGCCUGAACCAGCCAAGUCGCGUGAGGGAGUACUGCCCUAUGGGUUGUAAACCUCUUUUGUCGGGGAGCAAAAGCCGGACGUGUCCGGCUGUGAGAGUACCCGAAGAAAAAGCAUCGGCUAACUCCGUGCCAGCAGCCGCGGUAAUACGGAGGAUGCGAGCGUUAUCCGGAUUUAUUGGGUUUAAAGGGUGCGCAGGCGGAUUUUUAAGUCAGCGGUCAAAUCGUGGGGCUCAACCCCAUCCAGCCGUUGAUACUGCCUUGCUGGAAUGCGGAUGCCGUGGGAGGAAUGUGUGGUGUAGCGGUGAAAUGCAUAGAUAUCACACAGAACACCGAUUGCGAAGGCAUCUCACGAAUCCGCGAUUGACGCUGAUGCACGAAAGCGUGGGUAUCAAACAGGAUUAGAUACCCCUGUAGUC
RNAcentral lists this ribosomal RNA (458 nucleotides) under uncultured bacterium. Its description in RNAcentral is "partial 16S ribosomal RNA". It matches the Rfam family "Bacterial small subunit ribosomal RNA", at positions 338 to 795 of the family's 1533-position model. The record is from RNAcentral.